UGAGGGUAUCUCUUGCAGGAGAUCCCUACCUACUGGAGGCCUUCUAAAGACCAUCUGUCAUUAAUGAGGAAAGUAACUCGGAUAGUGGCCUGGUUCUUCACAAUGGUUUCAACAAAAAGAAAAUGAAGGUGUCAUUUCCAGCCGCACGUAGAAAAUGGUUGACAAGAAUUCUGACAGAUUUAUAGUACUGAAGGACUGGAUAGGGCAGGAUAAUUCUGAGACUAUUGCAUCACGAAAUCAAAUUGAAAAGUUUUUAAGUGAUUGAAAACUGAGGAUGAAUUUUAAUUGUCCAGUAAGAUAGUACCAUGAUAUAUGUGGAGAAAUCACUGGCAAUAUUAUAAGUGGCCAUCACAAUUUGUCACUUCUGGUUGUUGUUGGCCUGGGUUUGCAGUGGUCCCAUACUCAGCUGUUUGUAAAGUCACAAGCCACAUGAUAGUGUCUGGAAACGUGUCAUUCUUGCAGCUCCUGUGCUUGAUAGAUGCCUGCAAAAUUCCAUCACACUUUUGCAUGGACCUGUUUGGGUCUCAGGGAGAGAAGGUUUCAGCCUCUUAAGAGGAAAGAUUUAUAUCCAAGAAGCUCUAUUGGCCCUGCACCAACGAUUACAAGUCUGCAAACUGUUGCAAGCCGGUUGAGCCACAGCAGUGAAAUUGAUUUUGCUUCAGCGACUGGAUUUUCAGCUUGAGCUGUGGUAGCAUUUGGAGCAGAGUCUGUGCAGGGUAUCAGGAGGCAGCAGACUUGAACAACUGCUUGGAUAGGAACAGAGCCUGAGAAAUUGCAGUGCUGGGAGCAGUUGGCCGUGUAACCAAGGAUCAACAGAGUAGUAAGAAGGCUUACUCUGAGUUUGUUCUGACCUACCUAGAGGAACUAAAUGAAAGAGGAGAUGACCCAGACAAAAAGCUGCAUUCACCAUUGGGCCUAGUCUUCAGUGCAUCAGGAGAUAGAAUCGGCAGCUCAGCUGAAGGGGUCACAGUGUAAAGCCAGAGGCAGGUUCUGCAAAAAAAUAUCAGCAAUCUCAGUCAGAAACAACUUUCAGGACCUUUGGACGCCCAUUUAAUGCCUGCAGAUCCCCUAGGGGAGACUACACAGCUGACAGUGGCACUGGUGAGGAAACUAGAAGAGAAACAUCCUAAGGCCUCAGCUCAAAGUGCCUCCUGACUAGUUCAGAACUCGUCCAUAUGAAGUUAAAGAAAGGGGCUGAGCAGCGAUACCAACCAUUGCUCAUGACUGAUGUGUGAAACUUUUUCUCCAGAUGCUAAUUGUGAGACCGUUCUGUGGGAAGGGCAACUAAAUAACCUAUGUCAACAGAUACACUUAAUGUCAAGGGAAAAGAACCUUAAGAAUGUAUGCAGUAGACUCAAGGCAUGAAGGUACAGUCCUAUAGUGGUAUCUCCUUCAACAAAGCCAGCAGAAAAAGUCCCCCAUUGCUCCGUCAUCAGCUACUUCUGUAACGUGUGUGUCAAAUACAGUUGUGCGCCAACUUCCUGCUUUUGAAGAAGCAAAUGAAUAAGGAACUGGAGGAGAAAAAAGGGACAACAGACAAUGCAGAAGAUAAUUUAGAUCAUUAUCUGAACUUUCACCAGAUGAAUGACUUAAACCUGUCAUCAGCAACUGCAAUGCCCAGAGAGCCAACUGUGUGUGAAGGGACUGAAGUGAAAAUUCAAGAGUGUCC
Long non-coding RNA from Lagopus muta (rock ptarmigan), 1669 nucleotides. RefSeq lists it as uncharacterized. The transcript is spliced from 13 exons. The record is from RefSeq and is a predicted model, not a curated record. NCBI's taxonomy places the organism in Eukaryota, Metazoa, Chordata, Aves, Galliformes, Phasianidae.